CCUCGACGGCCUCCGAUCAAUACGUUGUACAUCACUGCAGUUGGCAUCACUUCUCCCGCGGCCAGCAUUUUGUCGAACACCUUAACUGCAUCUUCGAUACUGCCACUCCUGCACCACCAAAGAUCACCAUGGCGUAGUUAGGGUCGACGCCACCGUGUUCCCGCUUCUCGCGCAGAAGCCCCGCUACGCACUGCCGGUCCUUGCGCAGGGGCUCGGCGUC
Molecule: long non-coding RNA, 220 nt
Filed under: Panicum hallii
Lineage: Eukaryota; Viridiplantae; Streptophyta; Magnoliopsida; Poales; Poaceae
Description: long non-coding RNA (PHAL_LNC000899)
Source: RNAcentral